AUUGAACGCUGGCGGCAGGCCUAACACAUGCAAGUCGAGCGGAUGAAGGGAGCUUGCUCCUGGAUUCAGCGGCGGACGGGUGAGUAAUGCCUAGGAAUCUGCCUGGUAGUUGGGGAUAACGUCCGGAAACGGGCGCUAAUACCGCAUACGUCCUGAUGUAGAAAGGGGGGGAUCUUCGGACCUCACGCUAUCAGAUGAGCCUAGGUCGGAUUAGCUAGUUGGUUGGGUAAAGGCCUACCAAGGCGACGAUCCGUAACUGGUCUGAGAGGAUGAUCAGUCACACUGGAACUGAGACACGGUCCAGACUCCUACGGGAGGCAGCAGUGGGGAAUAUUGGACAAUGGGCGAAAGCCUGAUCCAGCCAUGCCGCGUGUGUGAAGAAGGUCUUCGGAUUGUAAAGCACUUUAAGUUGGGAGGAAGGGCAGUAAGUUAAUACCUUGCUGUUUUGACGUUACCAACAGAAUAAGCACCGGCUAACUUCGUG
This 484-nucleotide ribosomal RNA is filed under the name uncultured bacterium. RNAcentral's name for it is "partial 16S ribosomal RNA". It matches the Rfam family "Bacterial small subunit ribosomal RNA", at positions 30 to 507 of the family's 1533-position model. The record is from RNAcentral.